GAUGAACGCUGGCGGCGUGCCUAAUACAUGCAAGUCGAGCGAACAGACGAGGAGCUUGCUCCUCUGACGUUAGCGGCGGACGGGUGAGUAACACGUGGAUAACCUACCGAUAAGACUGGGAUAACUUCGGUAAACCGGAGCUAAUACCGGAUAAUAUAUUGAACCGCAUGGCUCAAUAGUGAAAGACGGUUUUGCUGUCACUGAUAGAUGGAUCCGCGCCGCAUUAGCUAGUUGGUAAGGUAACGGCUUACCAAGGCGACGAUGUGUAGCCGGUCUGAGAGGACGAUCGGCCACACUGGAACUGAGACACGGUCCAGACUCCUACGGGAGGCAGCAGUAGGGAAUCUUGCGCAAUGGGCGAAAGCCUGACCCAGCAACGCCGCGUGAGUGAUGAAGGUCUUCGGAUUGUAAAACUCUUUUGUUAGGAAAGAACAACUGUGUAAGUAACCAUGCACGUCUUGACGGUACCUAAUCAGAAAGCCCCGGCUAACUACGUG
RNAcentral lists this ribosomal RNA (497 nucleotides) under uncultured bacterium. RNAcentral describes it as "partial 16S ribosomal RNA". It matches the Rfam family "Bacterial small subunit ribosomal RNA", at positions 28 to 507 of the family's 1533-position model. The record is from RNAcentral.